Molecule: non-coding RNA, 83 nt
Organism: Phlegmacium glaucopus
Lineage: Eukaryota; Fungi; Basidiomycota; Agaricomycetes; Agaricales; Cortinariaceae
Source: the annotation of a GenBank genome assembly
GGCCUUAUGGUCUAGUAGCAUGAUUCUUCCUUUGGGUAAAUCCAAUAUGGAAGAGGUCCUGGGUUCAAUUCCCAGUGAGGCCC